Equus caballus (horse) is the source of this 7099-nucleotide non-coding RNA. Lineage: Eukaryota; Metazoa; Chordata; Mammalia; Perissodactyla; Equidae. The record is from RefSeq and is a predicted model, not a curated record.
UCAUGGAAUUCACUGGUCUUACCACGUUGCUCACCAUCCUAAAGCCUCUGGCUUGAUAGAACAUUGGAAUUGCCUUUUGAAGACUUAAUUACAGUGCCAGCUGGGUGACAAUACCUUGCAGGGCUGGAGCAAGGUUCCUCAGAAGGCUGUAUAUGCUCUCCAUCAGCAUCCAAUACAUGGUGCUGUUUCUCACAGAGCCAGGAUUCAUGGGUUCAGGAAUCAAGGGGUGGAAAUGGGAGUGGCACUACUUACUAUUACCCUGAGUGAUCCACUAUCAAAAUUUUUGCUUGUUGUUCCCACAACCUUAGGCUCUGUUGGCCUAGAGAUGUUAGUUCCAAAGAGAGGAACACUCCAUCAGGAGACACAACAAUGAUUUAAUCGAACUAGAAAGUGCCGCCUGGCCAAUUUGGACUCCUCACGCCUCUGAAUCAACAGGCAAAGAAGCGGGUUACUGUUUUGGUUGGGGUGAUUGAUCUGGACUGUGAAGGGGAAAUUGGACUACUACUCUACAAUGGAAGUAAGGAAGAAUAUGUCCAGAAUACAGAAGAUCCCCUAGGGGAUCUCUUAGUAUUACCAUGUCCUGUGGUUAAGGUUAACGGAAAACUACAACAACCCAAUCCAGGCAAAACUACUAAUGGCCCAGACCUUUCAGGAAUGAAGGUUUGGCUCACCCACCCCACCCUAGCUAAGAAAAUAUGAUCAGCUGAGGUACUUGCUGAAGGUAAAGGGAGUACAGAAUGGGUAGUAGAAGAAGGAAGUUACAAAUAACAGCCAUGACCACAUGGUCCGUUACAGAAACAAUGACUGUCAUUAUCAUGAGUAUUUCCUCCUUAUUUUGUUAUGAAUGCAUUUGUGUUUGUGUACGUGUGUAUCUUUGUUCUCUUUCCUCUUAUGUAAAAUAAGAUAUAUUGACUUUGUAUCAGUAUUUGAGUAUUGUUAAUUUUACGUCAUAGUGUUUAAGUUAUGGGAGAUCAAAAGUAAACAUCAUUUACUCUUUUAAGAGACUUUACCUCCUCUUCUAGGGAAGGGGUAAGUUUGGUUUUGGUUUUAUGCAAGAUAAUUAUAUCAUAUUAGGCAGAAUUAUGAUCUAGUUAUUGUCUUUAUUUGGACAUUAAAUAUGUUUUAAGGAGAUGCGUGUCGGUGCCAACCUGACAAGAGUGGACUUGUGAUGGUUAUUUUUUUAUGUCAACGUGACUGGAUUACACAGUGCCCAGAUAUUUGGUGUAAACAUUAUUUCUGGGUGUGUCUGUGAGGUGUUUCUGAACAAAAUUAGCAUUUGAACCAGUGGGCUCAGUAAAGCAGUUUGCCUUCCCCAGUGUGGGUGAGCAUCAUCCAAUCAUUCAGGGCCUGAACAGAACAAAAAGGUAGAGAAAGGAAGAAUUUGACUCUUCUUGCCCAAUUGCUUGAGCUGGGACAUUGAUCUUCUCCCACCCUCAGCACUCCUUGUUCUCAGACCUUGAAACCUGGAUUGGAAUCUACAUCAUUGGUUCGCCUGGUUCUGAGGCUUUUGGACUCAGACUGAAUUAUAUCACUGGCUUCCCUGGGUCUCCAGCUCACAGAAAGCAGAUUAUGGGACUUCUCAGCCUCCAUAAUUGCAUAAGCAAUUCCUUAUAAUAAAUCUUUUCCUAUAUGUAUAUCCUAUUGGUCUGUUUCUCUAGAGAACCCUAAUAAUACCUGUUAGCUGGCUCUCUUCAUGACCCCAAGAUGGCUGUUCCCCUCAUGAGCCUAAGACAGCUGCCACAGUCCUACAAGUUAAGUAUAGGCAACAUCCCCAGGAUAGUUCCUCAGGAGAAUUUCUUUUUAUCAAUGAGGAAAAUAUUUCCCAGAAGCCUCCAGCAAAUUUCCCCUUAUCUCACUGGCCAGAAUUAUAUUAUGUGCCCAUGCUUAAAUUAAUCACAGGCAAGAGGGAUAGAACCACCAUGAUUGGCUUAGGCCAAUUAGAAUUCACUCCCAUAGUGGCCAUCCUCUGUAGGACGAGGCUGAUAGUAGUAGAUGUUAUACAGAAGUGGACUCAUUGAUAGCAACAGGGAUGGUAGGAUCUUGAAAAGAGGCCAGGUAGCCAAGUUGCUUCUUAACCAUCAGAAGCAAUUUGGUCACAAUUGCCGUAAUUCAUGAGGUAGUUAAUAGAACACAGAAUUUCUGCCAAUAAUGGUAAUAAUGUUCAAUCUAAACAAACAAAAGAAAGUAAGGUGGGUGAUCAAGAGACUAGGGACAACCCAAUAAAAAGUCAUGAUCCCAAGCCCAAUUUCUAGAUUUGAGCCAGUGUUCUGACCUGGAACCUUUUGACUGAAACAGAGGUAAGGUCCCUAGGAAGGAGGAUCCUAUAACAUCAUGUAUGUUCUUUGGACCUGAGGAGCAAGAAGUAGCAAGUGUGUUGGAGGCCUUAGUAAUAUACGUGCCUUUCAGAUGGGAGGAAAAAAACACUACAAAGAUUCAGUGGCUCACAGCAUUCUUGGUUGCCUACUUCUACAAGAGGACACAGAUAACUCUGAAGGACUAUUGCAGCUGCACAGCCACUCAUAGAGCUAGUGAGGAGUUUCUUACAACUGCAUCAAGAUUCCAGGUGUUGUCUCAUGAAUUCAGAGCUCUCUGUUGUGCUUGUGAUGCUGUGCAGAGGAGUCCCCAUGACAUGACCAGCUGCCACUCUCAGGCCUGUGGGUCCCAGAUCUCAAGCCCCAAGCUCUCAGUCCCUCCCUUGAGUAAGGUGUCAGUGCCAGAUGUAGGAAAUGCUUGAUGGGAAUGUGGCUGAAACUGUCUGCACUAUGAUGGAGGGACAGAUUGUCAUCAACUGCUGCAGCAGGGUCUCCUUUGACUCCUUCAAUAAUCCGCAUGUGCUGCAUCCUUCUCCAAGAUACCAUCCCUGAGGAGCCGCAUUCCACCCUGAUCAUUCACGAGGACUUGUCAGCAUGCACUUGUACAGAUAUUAGACUGUAACUGCCAGUUUUCAAUAGAAUUGAUACAGUUUUAGACUGAGAAUAUUAUUUGUAAGUUCACAUUCUGUCAUUUACUGGUGAUCCUAGCUAAGUCCCUCAACUACUCCAAACUUCACUGUCCUCAUUUGUAAAAUGCAGAUAGUGAAGCCUACACAAUGUGUUUGUAGAGAAAAUUAAUGAGGGAAAGUAACGGGAAAUGACUUCUACUUUUUCAAGUUGUGUGAAUGUUAGUUAUCAUUAUUGUUGUUUCUCCCCCAUGAGAUCUCUGAGGCCACAUCUUUUACUUCCUUUCUAACUCUCCCCUGGGUCACGCACGAUGCCAGCAAUGCUGUAGGCUAAUAGUAGUUGCAGAGUUAAGAAUGAAUAAAAGAAAACCACUUACCCAAUGAGUUAAGGCAAAACCGCAACCAUAUUAAAUCUAUUAUAGACAUUUGUUCCACAGAGUGAAUUGAGAACCUUCUCAAAGGGAAGAAAAUUUAUUUGCAGCCCACUCUUGCAAAUCUAUGCUGAGAGGAAGAGAAAUAGCAUCAAGUCACCCUGAUUUCUCAUUCUAACAUGGGACAAACAUUGCUAACAAGGGACAAAUUAGCCUCUGGAACCCUUGUUAGCUUUCCCCAUAAAGGUUGCUACCUUUAAAUAACCACCUUUUUUAAACACCCCUUGAAGAGAUCAUUUUAUCUCCAUGCUAAGAUCAGUUCCUCUUCAACAUCUGAUGCAACCCCUAGUGUUUUCCAUUGCUUUCUAGCUGUGUCAGAUUUCCCUAGAAGACAGAAAUGAAAGUGAUGACUAAGAAUAUUGCACUUAAAAUUCAAAUUUUUGACCUACACUUUGAUUCCCCCACCCACCCCUCCCAUUCCUGUCUCCUUGCCUUCCAAAGGGGGAAAUUACCAUUUUUACACAGCGUAAAAUCUUCAGCGUGCACCAUUACAUGUAGACUUGCAGUGUUUAAACGGAAAUUUAGUUCAUUUAGUUGGAACUAUACAAAGCAGAACCUACUCAGAGAAUUCAGACUUUUUUGCUAUUUCACUGACAAUCUUCUAAAGAGACAGAAAGGGUUACAUGCCAGGAGUGUACCAGUUACGGUCUAUUUCCCCUCUGUCAUUUAGAAACAAUUAGGCAUUGACCUAUUCCCUCCACAUUGGCCUUUAUUCUAUAUUCCAAUCUUACCCGCAAGUCAAAUUAUUUAAAGCACCAUGUCUGGAAUAGAGAAAGACAUUGGAAAAAAGAAAAAUAGCACGAGGGAGAAAAACAACAACAAUAUGGAGCCUUUCUGCAGGUAAUCUCAACAUACUCUCACAGAACAUUUACCUCACAGAAACAAGAUGAGAUUUCUCAAUUGGGUUUUUUUUUCAAUGACCCAAACUUGAGUAAUAUAGCCAGUAGUUUGAUGGAUAUCUAAGAUAAUUAAAUGGUUAUGGUGACGUGUUAAUGUGGCUCAUUUUCCAGUGCAGUCUGUUCCAGAUGCUCACUAAUAAAUCAAAACCACCUAGAGUUUAGCAAGCAUUUUAGUCCCACUCUCAACUAAAAGGCAGAUUCUCUAGUCUGGUAAGCUAGCAAAAAAUAGAUCACUCAAUGGAUCAAGCUGUCACUGAGGGAUCUUUUGCAAGAAUGAAAGGUAUCUCGGGUAGUUCAGAACAUCCUGCAGGAACUCUACACUUCCUCAAUAUACUUACUGAAAGCCCAGUGCCAGAACUACAAAACUCAUCAAAACCAUCCCUAAACAGAAGUUCAUGGUCUCAGACUGACCUACUAGCAGAUAAUUUUAAUACAAGUCAGGUAAUAACAGAUACACAGGGCCAGGGGCUGAGGGUAGGAGAGGGGUGUAGGGAAGGAAUUGCCUGACCAUGUCUUAAAGGAUAAGGAGGAAUUAGACAGGAAAAGGGAAGAAAAAAGGCCAGUCCAGACAAGGAGAGCACCAUGAACAAAGAAUUAAGACAACAAGAGAAUGCCCCAUGCAGAGAAUCAGCAAACAUUUUUAUCCCAUACAUGUUUUUUAUGUGCAGCUACCAUUUUGUGGGGUCAAGCCUGCCAUUUUGUUCCUCCCUUGUUCUGGAGCCCCCUGGAGAGGGUAGCCUGUGAAGUGCUGUCUCUAACCCCCACUUUGCGGCCACCUCCUUCAAGGUACUACUGCCUCAAUGACCCUUCAACACCACUCCUAGGAAACUCAGAGGUGCCAACACUGUCCAGUGAUCUGAGAUGAGCUAACGAAGGAGGCUGUCCCCCUUACCAUGCCUGCUAUGAUGGAGGGGGUCCCCAAGCAGUGCUCAAUAUCUUUCACAAUAUUCAAAGAAACAGCCCUUUACUGUUUCCUCAGGCUUUACCUCAGCCAACUGGGUUCCCUCCAAACCAAAGGACUCAGAAACGACUCCAUGGGUGGGCUCUGCCAUGAGAGUCAAGGAAAUCACCACUUCUUCCUCAGAAUCUCUCUUUCCCCCCACUAAGCCUAAAAGCUUUGAUGUGGGGCCAAGCUCCUUCUCCCUUAGGCACUUCUCUCUCCCAGAUGCUUCCUCACUCCACCCGCCCUCUGACUUCUGGUCAGCUGCCCUAUCAGUUUGCCAGACAGCCCAGAUGUGUCUCAAUUCUGACAGAGGACACAGCUGAGGCCAGAGCUGGGGUUCCUACUGCAUCAUUUCUUUCUCCUUAAGCACAAAUGAGAACGUAAAUCUCCAAACAUCAUUUUCAACACCAGAAACUAUUAACAGCAGUUGCCUUUGGAGAGGGGAAGAGAGCAGCUAGGGGACAGCGUAGAGGGAGAUAGACUUUUUCACACACUCUUUCAUGGUUGUGAGGUUGUACUGUGCAUAUGGAUUGCCUAUUCAAGAAGAUUUUCUAGAAAAUUACUUUAGAAAGAAAAGUAAUUUUUUGAAACCCAGAAUUUUCAGAAUAUUUUCUAGAAUGCAAUAUCGAGGCCUUACCUUUGUACUCAAAUGGCUUAAUAAUCUUAUAGGUAAAAAUUCAGUAGGUAAAAAAAAAAUUCUGUGAUUAAGAAGACAGAUCUCAGAUACUAAACCUGCUGUGAGACCCUUAAUUGAGUUUCUUUACCCCUCUAUGCCUCAGUUUCCACAUCUGUAAAAUGGGAAUAAUUAUGAUACCUAUCUCAUGUAUUUAUCGUGAGAUUAAAUGAACUAGUGUAUGUGAAGCACUUGGUGUCUGCUACAUAGUAAAUGCUGUGUAAUCGAUUGCUAACAGUCAUUAUCCUUAUCGGUUGCUGCUCAUCUCUGUCACCUUCCACUACAGCAUAUGGUAAGAAGAAAACAUUCCAGGUAAGGAAAGCAUACCUCUGAGAAGGACAGCAUAUAGACUAAAUAUUAAAAGUGAAAUCUGAGUGCUUUCAAAACCCUUGUCACACUUCGCUAUAUGUGUCCUGCCUGCUAGAGAAACACUUCCUUUCACGUGAGCCACCUGUGGUACACAGUAUGUGAUCUGAGUCAGGGACCCAAGUUCAAGCUAUUGUUUCUCCACUAACCUGCCGUGUGACUCUUGGGCAAACCACAAGGUCUCUAGUCUUAAUUUUUUCACAGGAGUGUCAUGGGGCCAAGCAAACUAGCGUAUGUGAAAACGCUCUGUCCCUACCAAAACCCUGCAACUGAGAUGCGUUAUUUUGAAAAUACACACUUGAUGGCCUAUUAAAUAGAACAGCUGAGUUAAACAGAAUGAGUGUCUGAGAACUGGAACCACCCAGAAGUUUCUACACUACCAUGAGAAAAGUUUACUUUUUGGUAAAACUCUCCAGUGGUUAAAUCAACUGUUGAAGGAAUAGCCCCCUCCAAGAAUGCUCUCCCGGUGGGAUUGCUGGUACCCCCUCUGCCACCACCACCCCAGAGUAGAAAAACCCUGAGACUCUGAGGGGUUCCAUUUCUCUUCCAGACAUUUCCUCUGGGGUCCACACUCUGGGUCCUUUCACUUAUCUGGAAGUAACUUGUCCCCUUCAAAUCCAAGGCACCAAAACAUACUGCAGCUUCUUAUAGUUCAACCCAUAACUACUUUUAAUCAGUUCAAAGGAAUCUCAGAGACUCAAGUUCAUGAGUUCUGUGACUUUGAAGUCAGUCAGUUAAUCUCUCUGGCCACAGCUUCCUUACCAGGAAAACUAUAUUUCAGAUUCUAAGAGUCACAAGAGCUUGGCACAAGUGCAAAUUUAGUUUCCACUGUUUCCUAUCUCUGUCCCU